Molecule: long non-coding RNA, 2372 nt
Filed under: Sorghum bicolor (sorghum)
Lineage: Eukaryota; Viridiplantae; Streptophyta; Magnoliopsida; Poales; Poaceae
Description: long non-coding RNA (SBIC_LNC004827)
Source: RNAcentral
AUCUGUAUCUAAAUAAAACUCAAGCAUGGAAAUGAUGAAUAGUUGCUCUGCCUAAUUUGCAUAUUUGAAGUUUCCUCUCAAGUUUAGACAUAAUUGUUAUAAUUUAAAGCUUGCUCUAGAUCUAAACUUAUGGGAUGAAAACUUGAUCUGAAAUCUAAGUUGUUAACGGAUAUGAUAUGGGAAGGUUGAGCUGCUGUUUAUCUGUUUCUAGAGAUGCUAGAAUUCUGGAGAAUUUUAUCUUUGAAAAUCUUUAAAAUGUUGCAUGAUGAGUUCCUGUAUGAUGAGAGUUUAAAUUCCUACCACAGCCAUAUAUACAUGCUUGCUAGACUUCGAGCCACACAUUUACUUUUUACUGCUUAUGAGCAUUGAGUGUGGUCAAGCUGUGUAGACCCUUAGGAGCUUGUCAUGUGGUUAAAUCAAGAUUCACUUGCACGUUCACUCACACAUGCUACUUCUACUCCGGAAGUACCAUCCACAUAUAUCCAUACAUUUCCAUCUUCAGAAUCACCCAAAAAUAUUCUACUCCUAAUCCGGGAGAGAAUAGCCAAAAAUAAUUUUGUUCGUCCUUGUGUAAUAAAUGCCUCAAGAUCAAUAAAGAGUAUUAUUAUUAUGUCUUGUGUGUCUCUACUUUAUUUUUGUGCAAGAAAGCAGAAAACAAGUAUGGGGGAGAUCCCUCGACAUGCUAAACACACUCCGACUACACCACUCCACGAUUCAGGUACACACUCUGCACACUUUACUCUACACAUAUAUAUAUAUUAGAUUAUGUAGAAUAUUGUUCCCGACAUGAUAAAAUAAAAAGAUUAAAAUAUUUCUAAUCAUGAUUAAUCUCAAUCUGUGAUAUUUCCUGAAAACUUGCAAUUAGUAUAAAAUCAUUUUUUAAAACCCUGUGUUACUUAAGUCAAGAUGGAAUAUGUGAUGGUAGAGUAUGAGUUUCUUAUUCUUGAUAUCAUUGUUGCUUGGAGAAUUUAUUUCAAAAUGUUCAAAUUUCUAGCUACCAUCCUCAGUGUUUUAUAUGCCUGAUAAAACUGAAAUAUUAAAUAUGAUUAUAAAAGCUAUCUGCUCUGUAUUGAGUUUGUUCAAAAUGAGUUAGACCCUUGUUGAGAGAUUUAUCAUGCUCCUAAGAUCAAGACAUUAUUUCAGUAAGAUUCACUCUUCCGAAGUAUUAUUGCAUUAGAGGCAUGGGCUAUGCAAAAAUAGAAGAUAUUUCGAGGAAAUAAAAAGGAGCAAGUGCUCGACAACCUCGCAGAAAAAAUGGACAAGUGUCCGGCAGUAGAAUUAGGGGUACCUCGGUAUCCACUUAAAAAAAAGAGAAAAAAAAUGAUAGCCCAUGGUCCCUCUAAUAAGCAAUAUGCCAGCAAGAGUUGACAAAGUUUUUAAUUUCCAAAGUCUUUGAUCUUAGAGUAUUACAUUUGCCUCCUCGGAUCCUGUUUUGAUCAGGCAAUAAAUCCAAAGUAAGUAUGCUUGAGAAUUUUUGCAAAAUAAAACAGCCUCAGUGAGAUAUAUAUAUAAAAGAUAAUGAGUGAUCUGAGAGAACCUAUGAGGAUCAAAAAGGUAUGCUAACUUUCUUUCAAAAAUAUACAAAAACUCCAAGUGACAGGAUUGAAAAGAAAGAAUCUUUACACUUAACCAUACACAUCCCUGACUAUGGUACACAGUGGAAUUUUUAACACCCUGCAAUUAUAAAGAGAAUGUUUUAAAUGUUUACCCCAGAUAUUAUUCUUAACCAUCCUUUUCUCGAGGACGAGUAAAAGCCUAAGUAUGGGGGUAUUUGUUGACGGUUCUUAAGUAUCAAUUUUAAUUAUCAAAUAAACAUGAGAAAGGACCAAUAUGCAACCAUCACCUAGAAUUAGGGUUUGAUCUGACAGAAUUCCACGAGUUUUGUUGUUUAUCUAUUUCUACAGGGGGUUAUCAGGAAAUAAGGAAGAAAGGCCCACAUGUCGGGAUUACAUAGAGAUAUCAACGCACCGCGUAAUUUUACAUCAUCUAGAAGACUCCAGAAGCCACGAGACUGAAGCGGAGGCGAAGCUGGGCCAGGCCCAGGGCGCCCGCCCUGGUAGCCUGGGCGCCCGCCCCCCUGCUGGAGUCAAUUCAGGACUCCUUCGCUCGGGAUAUUCCACCGACCUAUUGGAUCAAGAAAAACAUAGUACCACCUCGGCUAUCGACCCAAAAACGCAUAGAAGGGGAGGACUAUAUAAGCGAGGCCCCCCUGGCCCCUGGAAGACAUGAAGAAAUUAUCAUAGAGACUGAGGGGUGCCCUCGAAGGAAAACCUCUUCUCUAAUUAAUAUUUCUUUUUAGGCUUAGCAAUCAAUGUAAGGUAGAAAUAGAUCUUCUAGUUUCUACUAGAUUGAGAGAUAUAGAGUGGAGGUGU